UUUAACGGCCGCGGUAUCAUAACCGUGCGAAGGUAGCAUAAUAAAUUGUUCUCUAAAUAGGGACUAGUAUGAAAGGCACCACGAGGGCUUAACUGUCUCCCUUUUCCAAUUAAUGAAACUGAUCUUCUCGUGAAGAAGCGAGAAUAAAAAUAUAAGACGAGAAGACCCCAUGGAGCUUUAAACUCAUCAUCAUUUACUCUUUACCACACCACUACAUAUAAUAAAAUUGUUACCUGAGAGUUUUCGGCUGGGGUGACCCUGGAGCAAAACAAAUCCUCCAGGAUGAACGGAAUAAAAUCCUAAUCAAAGAGCUACAACUCUAAGAAUCAAAAUAUUGACAUAUUUGAUCCAAUUACUUGAUCAACGAACCAAGUUACCCUGGGGAUAACAGCGCAAUCCAUUUCAAGAGCCCCUAUCGACAAAUGGGUUUACGACCUCGAUGUUGGAUCGGGGUAUCCCAGUGGCGCAGCCGCUACUAAAGGUUCGUUUGUUCAACGAUUAAUA
This 504-nucleotide ribosomal RNA is filed under the name Heterixalus rutenbergi (Rutenberg's reed frog). Its description in RNAcentral is "partial 16S ribosomal RNA". It matches the Rfam family "Bacterial large subunit ribosomal RNA", at positions 1923 to 2593 of the family's 2925-position model. Lineage: Eukaryota; Metazoa; Chordata; Amphibia; Anura; Hyperoliidae. The record is from RNAcentral.